This 498-nucleotide ribosomal RNA is filed under the name uncultured bacterium. RNAcentral's name for it is "partial 16S ribosomal RNA". It matches the Rfam family "Bacterial small subunit ribosomal RNA", at positions 29 to 523 of the family's 1533-position model. The record is from RNAcentral.
AUUGAACGCUGGCGGCAUGCCUUACACAUGCAAGUCGAACGGCAGCACGGGGAAACCUGGUGGCGAGAGGCGAACGGGUGAGUAAUGCAUCGGAACGUACCUUUCAGUGGGGGAUAACGUAGCGAAAGUUACGCUAAUACCGCAUAUUCUGUGAGCAGGAAAGCAGGGGAUCGCAAGACCUUGCGCUGAUUGAGCGGCCGAUGUCAGAUUAGCUAGUUGGUGAGGUAAAGGCUCACCAAGGCGACGAUCUGUAGCGGGUCUGAGAGGAUGAUCAGCCACACUGGAGAGAGGACACGGUCCAGACUCCUACGGGAGGCAGCAGUGGGGAAUUUUGGACAAUGGGGGCAACCCUGAUCCAGCCAUGCCGCGUGAGUGAAGAAGGCCUUCGGGUUGUAAAGCUCUUUCGGCCGGGAAGAAAUCGCACGGGCUAAUACCCUGUGUGGAUGACGGUACCGGAAUAAGAAGCACCGGCUAACUACGUGCCAGCCGCCGCCGCGG